Molecule: small RNA, 480 nt
Filed under: Pongo abelii (Sumatran orangutan)
Lineage: Eukaryota; Metazoa; Chordata; Mammalia; Primates; Hominidae
Description: retained intron
Source: RNAcentral
GUCUAGAUUUGUCCGCUUGCGGGGAGACUUCGGGAGCCGCUGUCUCUGAACUUCCAGCCUCAGAGACCGCCGCCCUUAUCCCCGAGGGCCAUGGGCCGGGUCUCAGGGCUCGUGCCGUCUCGCUUCCUGACGCUCCUGGCGCAUCUGGUGGUCGUCAUCACCUUAUUCUGGUCCCGGGACAGCAACAUACAGGCCUGCCUGCCUCUCACGUUCACCCCCGAGGAGUAUGACAAGCAGGAUAUUCAGUGAGCUCUUGGGACGGGGUGGCCAGAACGAAGAGGUGGUGGGAGUGGAGGGGUCUUAGAAGAAGUCCAAAGGCCUGGGCCAGUCCACUUCCUCUCUGCAGGCUGGUGGCCGCGCUCUCUGUCACCCUGGGCCUCUUUGCAGUGGAGCUGGCCGGUUUCCUCUCAGGAGUCUCCAUGUUCAACAGCACCCAGAGCCUCAUCUCCAUUGGGGCUCACUGUAGUGCAUCCGUGGCCC